RNAcentral lists this long non-coding RNA (148 nucleotides) under Anser brachyrhynchus (Pink-footed goose). Its description in RNAcentral is "lncRNA (ENSABRG00000001645.1)". Lineage: Eukaryota; Metazoa; Chordata; Aves; Anseriformes; Anatidae. The record is from RNAcentral.
CUGCUAAACAUAUGUGGUGGAGCUGAGAGCUCUGUGAAACACAGCCCUGCCAGGUUACGUACUGUUGCGGCUCUGCCUGCCCUUAACCAUCUGUGCGAAUCUCACAGUUAUUGCACCCAGCAUCAGGUUUAUAAUGCUUCUGGUCUGC